ACACGACUACAUUAGAUACCCGUGUAGUCCUAGCCGUAAACGAUACUCGCUAGGUGUCGGCCACGGUGCGACCGUUGUCGGUGCCGUAGGGAAGCCGUGAAGCGAGCCACCUGGGAAGUACGGCCGCGAAGGCUGAAACUUAAAGGAAUUGGCGGGGGAGCGCCACAACGGGUGGAGCUUGCGGUUUAAUUGGAUUCAACGCCGGAAAUCUUACCGGGACCGACAGCAACAUGAAGGCCAGGCUGAAGACUUUGCCGGAUUAGCUG
RNAcentral lists this ribosomal RNA (266 nucleotides) under uncultured archaeon. RNAcentral describes it as "partial 16S ribosomal RNA". It matches the Rfam family "Archaeal small subunit ribosomal RNA", at positions 719 to 982 of the family's 1478-position model. The record is from RNAcentral.